This is a long non-coding RNA of Sebastes umbrosus (honeycomb rockfish), 204 nucleotides long. RefSeq lists it as uncharacterized. The transcript has 2 exons. Lineage: Eukaryota; Metazoa; Chordata; Actinopteri; Perciformes; Sebastidae. The record is from RefSeq and is a predicted model, not a curated record.
UACAAGAACACCAGCUUUCCUGCCAGUCCUCGCCAGAUUGUUCUGCCUACCAGUUGUGCCAGCCUCCCAUCGAGCCAUCCUCACGCCGCCGCAGCUCAUUCCUCCAGCUACUCCACCCUGCUCAACAGCCUGCCUGUCCCCUGCCUUCUCCAGCGCCCUCACCACCUUUAUUAUAAUAAAUCCACCUGACUUUCAACCACCAUC